GACGAACGCUGGCGGCGCGCCUAACACAUGCAAGUCGAACGAGCAAAGAGGAGCUUGCUUCUCUGAGCGAGUGGCGAACGGGUGAGUAACGCGUGAGGAACCUGCCUCAAAGAGGGGGACAACAGUUGGAAACGACUGCUAAUACCGCAUAAGCCCACGGGUCGGCAUCGACCAGAGGGAAAAGGAGCAAUCCGCUUUGAGAUGGCCUCGCGUCCGAUUAGCUAGUUGGUGAGGUAAUGGCCCACCAAGGCGACGAUCGGUAGCCGGACUGAGAGGUUGAACGGCCACAUUGGGACUGAGACACGGCCCAGACUCCUACGGGAGGCAGCAGUGGGGAAUAUUGCACAAUGGGGGAAACCCUGAUGCAGCGACGCCGCGUGGAGGAAGAAGGUCUUCGGAUUGUAAACUCCUGUUGUUGAGGAAGAUAAUGACGGUACUCAACAAGGAAGUGACGGCUAACUACGUG
Molecule: ribosomal RNA, 466 nt
Filed under: uncultured bacterium
Lineage: Bacteria
Description: bacterial SSU rRNA
Rfam family: Bacterial small subunit ribosomal RNA
Source: RNAcentral